This 112-nucleotide small nucleolar RNA is filed under the name Echinops telfairi (small Madagascar hedgehog). The record is from RNAcentral. Lineage: Eukaryota; Metazoa; Chordata; Mammalia; Afrosoricida; Tenrecidae.
UUGCACUCUUUGUAGCUGCAGGGCCGAGCAGCAGUGCUCGAGCAUAAGGGCUUGUUAUAACCGGGCUCUUCAGCCCUCAACCGAACUGCUCAGUUAAAAACAAGGUACAUUU